CGUGGCAUCUCGAGAUAAACACAAAUGAAUCAAAACUUUCAACAACGGAUCUCUUGGUUCUGGCAUCGAUGAAGAACGCAGCGAAAUGCGAUAAGUAAUGUGAAUUGCAGAAUUCAGUGAAUCAUCGAAUCUUUGAACGCACAUUGCGCCCGCCAGCAUUCUGGCGGGCAUGCCUGUUCGAGCGUCAUUUCAACCCUCAGGCCCGGCCUGGUGUUGGGGACCUGCCACGCGCAGCCCCCGAAAGAGAGCGGCGGUCCCGUUCCCGGCUCCGAGCGUAGUAGCAUACUGAGCUCUGGGCGCCGGGCGGGCAACCUGCCGGAAAACACCCCCUUUUUCUCAAGGUUGACCUCGGAUCAGGUAGGAAUACCCGCUGAACUUAAGCAUAUCAAUAAGCGGAGGAAAAGAAACCAACAGGGAUUGCCUCAGUAACGGCGAGUGAAGCGGCAACAGCUCAAAUUUGAAAUCUCCUUCGGGCGAGUUGUAAUUUGCAGAGGAUGCUUCGGGCGCGGCGCCUUCCAAGUCCCCUGGAACGGGGCGCCUUAGAGGGUGAGAGCCCCGUACGGUUGGACGCCAAGCCUGUGUGAAGCUCCUUCGACGAGUCGAGUAGUUUGGGAAUGCUGCUCAAAAUGGGAGGUAGACCCCUUCUAAAGCUAAAUACCGGCCAGAGACCGAUAGCGCACAAGUAGAGUGAUCGAAAGAUGAAAAGCACUUUGAAAAGAGGGUUAAAUAGCACGUGAAAUUGUUGAAAGGGAAGCGCU
This 758-nucleotide ribosomal RNA is filed under the name Sordariomycetes sp. genotype 731 JMUR-2016. RNAcentral describes it as "eukaryotic LSU rRNA". The stretch from base 344 to 758 matches the Rfam family "Eukaryotic large subunit ribosomal RNA", at positions 1 to 423 of the family's 3401-position model. Lineage: Eukaryota; Fungi; Ascomycota; Sordariomycetes. The record is from RNAcentral.